UGCAAUCGGGGUUGGGUUUCCCAUGGAGGAUGUCGCACGCCGCCAUGGCGGCGGAGGAGCCGACCUCAUCAGCGACCUGCCGGAGGAUCUGCUCCUCCAGGUCCUCGCCCGCCGCCGCGCGCACAGGCCUCCUCUCCCGCCGGUGGCGCGGCCUCUGGACCCGCCUCCCCGACCUCGUCUUCCGCGACGUCGCGCUCGGCCCGCCCCGCUCCUACCCGCGCUCGCCUCGCUCCAAGCCGCGGCCGGCCCCGGGGUGACCCUCCUCGAUAUCCGCGUCGCAGGGCUUGAGCGGGAGGCUUCCUUGGUCUCUUCGCUGCUCCAUGCCGCCGCGGGGCUCUCGCCAGGCGGAGCUCCGCCUGGCCCUCCAACGCGACAUCCAGUUCUUCCACGUGGAGAUGCCUCGCUUCCACCGCGCCACCUCCAUCGACCUCGCCGCGCACUACCUCCACCUCUUGCUGUCACGCAUCAGCAGGUUCCCGGCGCUCCAGAGGCUGUCCCUCUCCGGCUGCCGCGUCGACCUCGCCGACCUGGUCCACCGCUGCCCGUGCCUGCGGGUGCUCAGGGUGGCCGACGCCCGACGGGUUCCUCAACAGCAAUAUCACCAUCAAAUCGGAGUCGUUGGAGGAGCUCGCUGUGGAGAGCCUGAACAAAUGGACAGAGUGUAUCUGCGUCGAGGCCCCCCAUGCUCAAGAAUUUGGCAAUGUCAUUCAGCAUCGACAGCGAGCUCACCGUGUCCAUCGCCGCGCCAAUUGUGGAGAAGGUCUCUUGGGAGUGCUCAUAUUCCUAUUCCUCGCUGACUCGUGGGCUUGGUCCAUGGAGCCUCUCAAACCUGAGCUUACAUGCCGCAGAAAGCCAUGAAGACAUGGUGCUCACCGACACCGGCCGGCUCUCCAACGCUUAUGUCCUGUCCCUGCAAAUAUGGCCUUGUGGUUUGACUAGUUAGUUAUCCUGAUGCAGAGUUCAGCUUGGAGCAGGAAAUAGAGACACAUCUGGUUACUGACUUCUCUGUUUUGGAGCUACAUUUCACGACAAUGGAGCUUGAUCAUCGUGUCAGAUCUGUGAGGCAUGUCUUUGGAGCAUUUGCGUUGCAUCUACUUGGGAUGCAUCCGAUUCGUUCUGCUACACGAAAGCUUAAGAUCAUCGUACAGAGAUCAGAGUUCAAAGAAGAAUGCCCGGUAAAUUGUCCCUGCGAUGAGCCGAAGAGCUGGAGAAGCAAAAAUAUCUCCUUGAUCAAUCUCGAAGAAGUGGAAAUGGAAGGCUUCGAAGGGGAGGACCAUGAGUUUGAUUUGCUGAAAGUGAUAAUCAGAUGCGCACCAACGCUUAAAAGAUUGGCCGUGCAGAUGUCUGAUGAGGUCAGAACAAGUAACGACCAGUGUUCGAAAAUAUACGACAUCUUCAAGGCGCAUCCUUCCGUGGAAUGCAAUGUUGAUCUUCUGCUGAAUUUAUGUGCACGCACACAUCCUUACACUGCGCAAUUCGGUUUUGCAUGUUUUGUACUUAAUGGAUCUUUGGGUUAAGCAGUAGCUGCUAAUGCCAACACAGAAACAAAGAACUGUAUAUAAAAGGAAACUGGCAGCAUUUCUGUAUUACAAAAAAUAUUCAUAAACUCCUUGCAAAGCUGUAACUGACAACAAAGAGAAUGUAAUUCUAGUUCAUUUUGAGUAAGUACUUUGCUGUUUUUCCUUAAGCUGUUUGCAAUUGAUAGGGCAUUAUCUAUACGUACGUCGACUUCAUAUUUCCAUGCUCAGAUACUGACCCAAACUGGUUUCGAAUUGCCUCAUUUGCUUGCAGGGCCAAAGCGCGACAGCCAAAGUUCUGCGCUCGCAUGAUUCUCAUCCUUGUGUUUACGGGUUUACGGUGCUCAUCGACAGGAGGGUCCUCUCCAGCGCAGAAUUUCUCUUGGCGGCGGCUUCGAUGAACAAACUGAGCCGCUGAGGUGUUAUUUGACCGAUGUCAACGGAGCUUCAGGCCAGAAGUGGUGUGCUCUUGUCUUUCCUUGGCCUUGUUGUUAAUCCUUGAAGAAAAUCAUUGAAGCCAUAUGUGUCUUAGAUCCAUUUUAACUGGCUACUAGUAUGAAAUUGCCGAAAAUCAGUCUACUCUACCUAUGUCAUUUUAAGCCCCAGUUAGUUCUCUGCUUUGAUUCACCAAAAGUUAGAUAGAGCAUCAGAGAGGAAGAAUUCUCACUUUAUCCUCUCUUUUUGUCAAGCAAGCAUGUGGCUGGUUUGGCAAGGGCUCCAGCUUUGGUGGUCACAUGAACCUAAUUAGCUCCCUGAUUAGCUCACUCCCAUCAUGAUAUCACUACUGACUAUACAUAGUCUUUAGCAGACCAGUGGCAUGUGGAGUGAAAAGUUCACUGCUGCCCUUGCCCCUGCAUGAAGGGAAAAGAAAAGGAAAAAUGAAGUGCCUGCUGCAGCAGAGCAGGCAAGGCAGCAAAGCAAAGCAGGCAUGUUGCAGAAGGUCAGUGGUCUCAUCUCUCUUCUCUUCUGGUCCAAGUCCAAGCCUGGGUCAAGAUCCAACAUGGUCCCUCCACCGACUCUUUCUUGUGUUUUUCCUCCAUCUGCCACUCUACUGUUGGCCAUCAAGGAACCAACGGCACAUGGCAGGGACAGCCAUGAUAGAUAGAUAAACCACGCUAGUAGCAUCUCUGUAACCCUAAUCACAGUUUUUGUCUACUAAUAGCAUCCCCAGAACUGAUAGGGGAUUGCCAGAAAAUA
This is a long non-coding RNA of Triticum aestivum (bread wheat), 2714 nucleotides long. RefSeq lists it as uncharacterized. The record is from RefSeq and is a predicted model, not a curated record. The transcript has 3 exons. NCBI's taxonomy places the organism in Eukaryota, Viridiplantae, Streptophyta, Magnoliopsida, Poales, Poaceae.